UUGAAGCAGUUCAGGCUUCCCUAGGAUUGCUUGUUGGGAUGCUCAGUCUGAUCAUUCUCAUAAUACUUUUUAGGUAUACACAAUUUAGUCACUUAGUGAAUUUAAAGUGUGGGAGGCUGGGCUGGGGUUGUGGCUCAGUGAGUGCUCGCCUAGCACAUUCAAGGCCCUGGGUUCGAUCUUCAGCACCACAUAAAAAUAAAUAAAUAAAAUGGAGGUGUUGUGUCCACCUACAAAUAGAUAGAUAGAUAGAUAGAUAAAUAAAGUGUGGGAGGCUUUAUAAACAUAUUAUCUGAAACUUGGUGUGAUCUCUUUUGUCCAUUCUUAGCAGUUACUCUUGAGCAAAAAUAUGAAAAUUUUUUUUUAAAUGGCUCUUAGUGGGCUGGGGCUAUAGCUGAGUAGCCGAGCAAUUGCCUAGCACAUGUGAGGCCCUGGGUUCAAUCCUUAGCACCACAUAAAAAUAAACAAAUAAAAUAAAGGCAUGCUGGCAUCUACAACUACAAAAAUACAAAUUGGGCUGGGAUUGUGGCUCAGCUGUAGAGCACUUGCCUAGCAUGGGCUGGACCCAGGUUCAAUCCUCAGCACCACAUAAAAAUAAAGGCAUUGUGUUGUGUCCAUCUACACCUAAAAAAAAAAAAAAUUACAUUUUUUUUAGGUGCAUAGUAAAUAUUCUGGCUUUGCAAACCAUAGAAUAAUGGAGAAUAUUUUAGGUAGAUAUAAAACUGUUAAAAAAUGUGAAGACUAGGGCUGAGGAUGUAGCUCAGUAGUAGAAUGCUUGCCUAGCAAACUCAGAGCCCUGGGUUUGAAUUCCAGCAUGAUCAAAAAAAAGUAGAGACUUUUCUCUCUUUCUCUCUUCUCUCUCUUCCCUUCUCUUCUCUUCUCUCUCUCUCCCCGCCCCCCCACCCAUCCCCUCUCCCUCCCUCUCUCCAGGGAUUAAGCUUGAGCAGAAGUAUUGCAAGUUCAAAGCCAGCCUUAGCAAUUUACUGAGGCCCUAAGCAACUUAGCAAGGCCCUGUCUCAAAAUUUAAAAAGUAAAAAGGGGUUGUGAAUAUGGCUCACUGGUUUAAUGCCCCUGGAUUCCUUGGUACCAAAAUAAAAGAAAAAAAAUUGUCUUGGUUAGUUGGGUGCAGGGGCACACACCUAUAAUCCCAACUUCUAGGGAGGCUAAAAUAAGAGGGUAGCACCUAUAAUCCCUAUCUGAAAAUGAAAAGUGCUAGGGAUGUAGCUUAGUAGUAGAGCACUUAUCUAGCAUUUGUGAGACUCUGGGUUUGGUUUUCGGUACCACAAGAAAGAAAGAGUGAGAUAGAUAGAUCUGUGGUAUAAUUACCAAAAUGUUUG
RNAcentral lists this long non-coding RNA (1334 nucleotides) under Marmota monax (woodchuck). Lineage: Eukaryota; Metazoa; Chordata; Mammalia; Rodentia; Sciuridae. The record is from RNAcentral.